This 598-nucleotide ribosomal RNA is filed under the name Athelia sp. RNAcentral describes it as "partial large subunit ribosomal RNA". It matches the Rfam family "Eukaryotic large subunit ribosomal RNA", at positions 94 to 672 of the family's 3401-position model. Lineage: Eukaryota; Fungi; Basidiomycota; Agaricomycetes; Atheliales; Atheliaceae. The record is from RNAcentral.
UGAAGCGGGAAAAGCUCAAAUUUAAAAUCUGGCGUCCUCCGGGCGUCCGAGUUGUAAUCUGGAGAAGCGUUUUCCGCGUCGGACCGUGUACAAGUCUUCUGGAACGGAGCGUCAUAGAGGGUGAGAAUCCCGUCUCUGACACGGACUACCGAUGCUUUUGUGAUGCGCUCUCGAAGAGUCGAGUUGUUUGGGAAUGCAGCUCAAAAUGGGUGGUAAAUUCCAUCUAAAGCUAAAUAUUGGCCAGAGACCGAUAGCGAACAAGUACCGUGAGGGAAAGAUGAAAAGCACUUUGGAAAGAGAGUUAAACAGUACGUGAAAUUGUUGAAAGGGAAACGCUUGAAGUCAGUCGCGUUGGCCGAGACUCAGCCUGGCUUGCCUGGUGUACUUCUCGGUUGACGGGUCAGCAUCAGUUUUGACCGCUGGAUAAAGGUUGGAGGAAUGUGGCAUCUCUCGGGAUGUGUUAUAGCCUCUGAUUCGCAUACAGCGAUUGGGACUGAGGAACUCAGCACGCCUUUAUGGUCGGGGUUCGCCCACGUAACGUGCUUAGGAUGCUGGCAUAAUGGCUUUAAGCGACCCGUCUUGAAACACGGACCAAGGA